Molecule: ribosomal RNA, 460 nt
Filed under: uncultured bacterium
Lineage: Bacteria
Description: partial 16S ribosomal RNA
Rfam family: Bacterial small subunit ribosomal RNA
Source: RNAcentral
CCUACGGGUGGCAGCAGUGAGGAAUAUUGGUCCAUGGGCGCGAGCCUGAACCAGCCAAGUCGCGUGAGGGAGGACGGCCCUACGGGUUGUAAACCUCUUUUGCCGGGGAGCAACGGGCGUCACGUGUGGCGCCACUGAGGGUACCCGGAGCAAAAGCAUCGGCUAACUCCGUGCCAGCAGCCGCGGUAAUCCGGGGGAUGCGGGCUUUAUCCGGAUUUCUGGGGUUAAAGGGGUGCGUAGGCGGAUCGUUAAGUAAGUGGUCAAAUGGAGGGGCUCAACCACUUCCCGCCAUUGAAACUGGCGCUCUUGAGUGGAAGAGAAGUAUGCGGAAUGCGUGGUGUAGCGGUGAAAUGCAUAGAUAUCACGCAGAACCCCGAUUGCGAAGGCAGCAUGCCGGCUUCCGACUGACGCUGAAGCACGAAAGCGUGGGGAUCGAACAGGAUUAGAUACCCGGGUAGUC